RNAcentral lists this ribosomal RNA (404 nucleotides) under Salmonella enterica subsp. enterica serovar Indiana. Its description in RNAcentral is "partial 23S ribosomal RNA". It matches the Rfam family "Bacterial large subunit ribosomal RNA", at positions 417 to 722 of the family's 2925-position model. The record is from RNAcentral. Lineage: Bacteria; Pseudomonadati; Pseudomonadota; Gammaproteobacteria; Enterobacterales; Enterobacteriaceae.
GCGGGACACGUGGUAUCCUGUCUGAAUAUGGGGGGACCAUCCUCCAAGGCUAAAUACUCCUGACUGACCGAUAGUGAACCAGUACCGUGAGGGAAAGGCGAAAAGAACCCCGGCGAGGGGAGUGAAACAGAACCUGAAACCGUGUACGUACAAGCAGUGGGAGCCCCACCACUAAGCCAGUGGUGAACUCCACAUACGCAUCCUUUGCUGAGGAGACGGUUAACGGAGCGAAAGCGACGUUCAACCUCAAAACAAGCAGAGGGGGCUUAGUGGUGGGGUGACUGCGUACCUUUUGUAUAAUGGGUCAGCGACUUAUAUUCUGUAGCAAGGUUAACCGAAUAGGGGAGCCGGAGGGAAACCGAGUCUUAAUUGGGCGUUAAGUUGCAGGGUAUAGACCCGAAACC